Molecule: unclassified non-coding RNA, 330 nt
Filed under: uncultured fungus
Lineage: Eukaryota; Fungi
Description: partial contains 5.8S ribosomal RNA and internal transcribed spacer 2
Rfam family: 5.8S ribosomal RNA (bases 1-133)
Source: RNAcentral
UGGUUCUGGCAUCGAUGAAGAACGCAGCGAAAUGCGAUAAGUAAUGUGAAUUGCAGAAUUCAGUGAAUCAUCGAAUCUUUGAACGCACAUUGCGCCCGCUGGAAUUCCAGCGGGCAUGCCUGUUCGAGCGUCAUUUCACCCCUCAAGCCUUGCUUGGUGUUGGAGCACUACCGCCUUUACCGGUGGUAGGCUCUGAAAUCUAGUGGCGGGCUCGCUAAGACUCUGAGCGUAGUAGUUUAUCACCUCGCUUUGGAAGAAUUAGCGGUGCUCUUGCCGUAAAACCCCCAACUUCUGAAUUUUGACCUCGGAUCAGGUAGGAAUACCCGCUGA